GGUGAUCUGCCCAGAUGUGGUUUAACUUGUUUAAAUCAGAUAUCAUCAAGGCUCUUUCCAAGUGUUUACUUGGAUGAUAUAGUUUAUAUGGACAGGAAGCAGCACUGUGUCCAGGAAGCUUUAGAAGGAAGUCCUGAUUUGAAGAUUUAGCUUUGUUUUUAAUGGGCUGUUUGCUUCUUUAUCUCAGUGGCAAGUGAAGGAGAGUGUUCGCUGGCAGGUGAGGAUAAAUUCCUCAGUCACGAAGUCUCUUCCAGUCGGAUCACAGCUCCGAAUGGCAUUAAAAACAAUUGGAUUGCACUUAAAAGUCAGGCCGUACCUCCAAGCCAAACUCUGCCAUGGGAAAAAUGGCAUUUUACAGUCGAGCAGUGACAGCGAAAGCCUGCAGAAACAGAGACUGGAGCUGUGGGCGUCUUCCGCUGCUGUCUCCACUCCACAUGAUCCGCAGUGUGUAGAGCUUCAUCUUCACACGGCUUAGAAAACUUCUGGAUACUAACUCUGAGGAAGCCAGGUAUUCACAGGGAGCCGCACAGUGGCCCGAGAAAGCCUUUUGUCUUGUGAAAUUACCAACACAUUUCAUUUUCCUUGUUCCUUUCUGCUGGAAUCCCAGGAAAAGCGGAGACUCAAACAGAAAUCAAACAGUAUUGCGGUCGGAGAGCCUGAAAGGACGGGGAAAGCAUGCUCUCUGUGUCCAUUCCGCAGUGCCGCCAUCUUCCCAGCUGUGCCAGACAAGCCUCUGCCUCUCUUGUCUAUGAGGAUCCAUGAGGAUUCUGGGAUCAAGGAACUAACUGCCACAGGUCAGAUGGGCCGCCUGUCUUGUCUCAUCAGUGACCUGUCUUGUGUUCUUCGGGGGGUUGAUACAGCCCGUCUCGGCUGUCCUGACUGGACAGAGGAUCAGAGGUCUGUGUGCAGCUUGUGUUUAGUGUCCAGUCAGACCCACAGGGCAGCCCGAGUCACUGGACACAACAAGGGCCUGACAAGCUCCGCUGCAGGAGAAGGAGCUGCUGCAGGACAAUUAUCCGUCUUACAAGAUGCGAAGAGUCGGGUGGUCGGAGCACGGGUGCCGGCAAUGAGUCCCACAACAAACCUACAAAGCGACACGAUCUGACCGUCUGCCUCCUCCUGCUCAGCCAGCUGGACGCUUCGCGAGGGUGAAUGUAGGGGCUUUGUUCAAAGCCACGGACUGGAGUGAAAAUUUGACACCUGGCCUAAUUGGUUAAUUGGUUAACUGGCAUUCAGCGUGGAGGCAAUAACACAGGGGGAAAAGGAGCACAUUGCAUGGGCUCUGUGGGCACUUGGCCACACCCUGGGAUUAAAGCUCAGGUGUACUGUAGCAGCCUGGAGGACAAAGGUCAGAAGGCUGCGUCUGGAAGAGAGGGAGAGCUCCCAAGUGAACGUAGAGUCUAGCGAGCACAGGUGUGGUCUUUCGGCUCCUGUUUUUUUUCACCACCACCAGCCGACAGGCUUGCAAGCUGUACGUCAGGAGUGAGAGUGUGAACGAAGAACUUGCAAGGAUUCAGACAGGAAAGAGCCAGGGUAAAUUGUACCUCACUCACUGCGGUAAACUACUAGAGCAUUUCGUUUCUAAGCCUCCGGUGUCUCAGUAGGGAAUGGGAUUCGUGCUGAUUAAAGUACAGUGGGAAGACUGGGUGUAAAGGUUUAAGCAGAGUAGAGUCUGAGUAGAAAAGGGACUGAAGAAGGGAGGGUUGAAAAGCAGAGGAGGAAUUAAAGUGACUGUGCUACUUAAAAGCACCGAGCUUGAUCGAUGGAACACUGGACUGUGCAGGCUUCUCCAGAAGGAAGGGUUCCUUCCACAAGUCUUGGUACCCAUGCUGGGACAAGCAGGCUGGGCUGACUCAGAGCCAGGGCCAGAUUUUGGUGUUCGUAGGCCCUAGACACUUUCACUCCAAAUUGUGCAAAAAGAGGGGUUAACGCCAAUUGAAUGACGUCGAUUGACGUGAUGCCCUUUAAACUAUCCUCGUGCUAAACCACGUGACUGAUGGAGCGAGCCGAGCGACCCUCACUUCGAUACUUCUAGGUUCCAGAACAGCCGCUAGAAAGCGCGUGAUUCGUGAUUUGGAGCACCUGGAGUCGCACGCAAGCAUGUUGCUUCAGCUCAUUUUUCGUUAGUCACUAGUGUCUCCCUCCUUCGUAGGCCCUAGGCACUGUGCCUACAGUGGCUAAUGGGAAAUCUGGCACUGCUCAGAGCUCCAUCUGGUGAAGAGGGCUGACCCCUGAGCCACACUCAUCCAACAGACAUUUUAAAUAGCUAUCCUCUGCUCUGCUGCACCUGUGGACACCGGGAAGAUCACUAGCAGGGUGAAACCAGACACCUCAGUGAGACCAGUACGAGACCAGGCCAGACACCUCAGUGAGACCAGUACGAGACCACGCCAGACACCUCAGUGAGACCAGUACGAGACCACGCCAGAAACCUCAGUGAGACCAGGAGCCCUCCCUGAACGUGGCCCUGGGUCUCAGUGUGUCAUCAGGGACUCUACACAGCUGCGGCGAUGGGUCCGGCGGUGUGUGCAGUGCCAUCUGUGGAAGCCUCCCCCUGCCAUGUGAGCGACGUGUCUGACUGCGGUUCGCUCCAGGGACGCAGCGGGACGACAUGCUGAGCGAUCAGGCACCUCCGGCUCGGGAGCAGGCGCACAGACAAUAUAGAUAAGGGCGCACUUAGACAACUAAUUCAGUUUGCUGUUGGCAUGAGUGAGGAGGAAACAGGCAGAGCUCCAGGAUGCAAUUCUGACAUAAUGGAGAUCAAUCUGGAUAAGAUUCAGAAAUGAGCAGAGACACAGCAUGCACGUGCAAUUAGAAAAGACCAGGGUGUUGAAAUUAAUCCGUCAGAGUCAGUAAUACAUCCACACUCUGACACUCGGCUCCUUUGCUUGUACUCCAGCAUGAGAAGGCUGAGUUUCAGUCUAGAGACAGGGCAGAGGCAUUUAUUUUCAGUAUAGACAUGAAUGCACUGCUUCAUUGGAAUAAACAAAAAAAACUAAUUUAUUUCUUUGGAAACCUACUUGUGCUGUUCCCAUCAUUUUACCCGGGCCAGAUUUCUUCUAAGACAUUAUUAGAUCUGCCCUGUCUGGACC
This is a long non-coding RNA of Lepisosteus oculatus (spotted gar), 3092 nucleotides long. RefSeq lists it as uncharacterized. The record is from RefSeq and is a predicted model, not a curated record. Lineage: Eukaryota; Metazoa; Chordata; Actinopteri; Semionotiformes; Lepisosteidae.